AAUGGCAAACCCCACCCUGCCUGUUCAUUCUGGAACCCUCGCCGCCCCUCUGUUCCACAGGUGCUCGCCCUUAAUCCAGUGUUCCAGAAAAAUCUCCGGCGGCAGAGCUCGUGCUGUUCCGGCGGUUGCCGGUGAAAAAUGGAUGAUGCUGGCAUGGUGUUCCUUCUCGAUCCUGUUUACAGGUUAGUGCCCUCAGAUCUGCAAAUUAAUUUGAGCAUUUGUUUCCAUGCUAACUUCCGGGGCUUGGUCGCCGGCAAGGCCAUCCUUUGCCAGGUUCCCACUGCGAGAGGAGUUGGCCGACAGCCAUGAGCACCUACAUCCGGUUUCUCUGGUCUUGCUGGCGAACAGCAGUGCCGGAGUUGCCGUUCCUGAGAACUCAAGUGCUGGUUCUGGCUGCGGUCAGCAGGUUGGCGACGACGGCACUAAUACGGCACAAGCUGGAGUGCGCCGUCGCCCGGAUACAUCCCCGACGAGGUCGGGCAGAGUCUAUCACUCUAUCCACAGGCCCCUGGGUGGAGAAAAAGGGCGGAGCUGUGAGGAGAACAAAUUUGGCGAUAGAGCGGCAUGCAAGUAAAAAUAUACACUAGGGCAAUGUUUGAAGAGUUUGGUUGUGAAGUAAUUGAAGGGACGGCCUACAAUGUCACAGAAGUAGAGAAGAUGAGGAAGUAUGUCACAGUUCACAACAAUGCAGCAAAAAGAGAGGAAUGGAGCAGAGUUCAGUACAGGUGAACAUAAGUGAAGACAAAAACAGAGUUUACAUGUGAAUGUGGCCAGUUUGAGCACACUGGGAUGUUAUGCAACCAUGUUUUGAUGGUCAUGGAUAUACUUCAUCUCAAGGAGAUCCCUGCUAUGCAUAUAUUGAAGCGGGUGGACCAAGGACGCGAGGGACAUACUUCCCAAUCAUCUUGUUCAGUACCAGAAGGAUAAUUCAGUUAAGUUGUCAUUCACCUGCAGGCACUCGACUCCAUACCUCAAAGCCAUGGAGGUUGUACGGAUAGGCGAUGCGAGUGCAGAAUCGUUCGAUCACAUGUUUGGUGGUCUCACAGCUUUACUGGUGAGUGGCGCACCUUAGUCAGAGAAAAGGGAUGGUUUGGGUUUCGAGGACCCGCAUGGCCGGUUUGGCUCCUGGUACACUACCUGGCAAUGAGAGGCUGCAUAUGUUGGAGACGGCGGUGCUGAUCAAUGCUGGUAAUUUUGUUAGUGUGAAU
Molecule: long non-coding RNA, 1208 nt
Organism: Triticum dicoccoides
Lineage: Eukaryota; Viridiplantae; Streptophyta; Magnoliopsida; Poales; Poaceae
Exons: 3
Source: RefSeq, a predicted model, not a curated record